GCUGUUGUAUCUUGGUAUGGAACAUUGACUUCUGUUUGAAGUCUGCCUGACUUUGUCCCUGUUGAGAAUCUGGCAUGUGCAUGGAGAAAGGAGAUUACUGCUUUCACAUGCCUUGGAAGUACCAGACAGUGUGAGUGAAGGCUUAACAUCAUUUUAGGUUUAUAUACGUGUGUGUGUGUGUAUACAUAUAUGUGUGUGUGUGUAUAUAUACAUGAACAGAACGAUGUUUUGUAUUUCUCAGUAGGACAGAUGGGAGAAGGAGCUACUGGAAGCAAUCCAAAUGUUUAAAUGAGAAGUGAGCUGAAGAAAGAAUGUUUCUGAAAAUGUAUCUAUUCCUUAGUGCGUAAGAUAGUCAUUACUGUUACAUACCUAUACAUCAGUAUUUUAUUUUAAUUAAAUUAUCCAUGGCUGAUACAAUGUCAUAGUAUCUUAGAGAACAACAGAAACUCAUGCCGCACAACAAAAAUCUCUAUAAGCUACGAAGACGUUGAAGGUGUUCUGCAGAUCAGGGAACCUGGUCCCUGAGGGACCAGCAGUGGACUUGGGCUCAGAAGUUUGUGCCUCCUAAUGACCCCCUGAGAAAGCCUUUGUUUCUGCUGCUCCACACUGAAAUCUGGAGCAUAGAGAGCAACUACAAAGUGAAAGAGUGAAGAGAGUACUCUAAAGAGAGUAUAAGUAUGAGCAGUGCCAGUGACUUGAAGAAUAAGCAGGAGGUAAGUGCCAUAGAGCUCAAGGACUGAGGUGAGAACAGCUGGUUCCAGGCCAGUGCUGCUGACAUCGCAGUUCAUCUCCUGGAGGAUUUUAUGGUCUUUCCUAUCGAUCACAAAUGGCUGCCUGAAGAAGAACAAACCAAGCACGUUUAUUUGAAGAUUGUCCUUAGACGAAGAACAGGGUCUUAACCUUCCAUCAGAGCUGACAGCGUUCCUUAAAUGUUUUGUCUGCCUUUAUCUUCAUCCACACAAGUGCAGAAGUUGAAUGAAAGUUUUUUGGGAGACUUAAAAGAUCAGAAGUCCCUGUACCAGCCCCUGCCAUGGCUGAUCUGCAGCACCAUUGAAUGUGAUCAUCAGGAACUGACUAGAAAAUGCCUUGAAAAAUUGUGAAAUGUUCUUAAACAGGUAGAAGCCUUCAGUAGAUGUGAGGAGCCAUGUGGUCAUCUGUAUAAAACCUAGGGACCGUAUUUCUUUAAAGGACAAGUAUGGAGCUAAUUUUUUUUGUCAAUCCUGUGGUGCUCCAGUGUUCCAAACAUUCUCAGCAUUUGCAUCCAAAAAAGGUAUGAGGAUGUGUGGCUGGAGAAUACACCCCUCUACAUCAGGUGCUCAGCCACGUGAAGCCCCAGCCCUGGCAGCUCUUAGACGCGGCGGUAGCUCGAAGUGCACGUCGGCCCUGCUGUGAGACACAUUGCAAGUUCACUUGGGUCAGCAUUAGGAUGCAUUAAGCCACCUUAUCCUGUAGGAUAAAGGCCAGCGACUGUGGAGCUCACUGACUGGAAGAGGUUGACUUACAGAAAGUUACCCACUACUGAAUACUGGUAUUGCAUCAUAAAAGAUGAAGAUGUGGUGCAGGGGCUAAAAGAAAUGCAAAACGUGGAGGACACAGACAGUGUAUCAGAUCCGAGCAGCCUGUCAAUACAUGUCCUCCAGAGCUUUCUAGCAUCCUGGAUUCUCUCCAGAAGCGUGGAAGCACGUUCAACCAGACAUUACUGAGACACAUUCCAGAAAUACUGUAUGGACAGAAGGGAGAAGCGCAAAGUACCGUUUGGGUGUUUUGGAUGCAUUCCCUUUUGCUGUCAAGAUCUUUCUAAGUAUUUGUGAAAUGAGACAGGCUUUCCAUGGGUGCUUCCAUUGAUGGCCAAUUUGAGAAGCUAAUCAGAAGGGUCAUUUCCAAUGUGUUGUAAGAUUAGUUCCUGGCAGCCUGACUGGAAGUCACUGAAGAGUAGAUAGCUUCAUGCAAGUUUAAUGAAGCACAAGAUCCUGAAACCAGAAAGAGCCGCUGUGGUUGUCUAGACUGACCUCUCCAGGAGACUGAGGCAAAAUCCUUCCCACCCAGACGCUGCAGGAGGUCAGAUAAAGCGCCGCUGGGUUAGAGCGCUCGCCCAGAGGCAGCAGGCAGUCCUGGAGCACCAGAUGAUAUUAGAUCUGGGGAGAGCAAAGCUGUCACCUCGGAAGCCCUCGGAGCCAGCUCGGGAUGGAUAUGACAGCCCAGGUUCUCCAGCUGCAUGUCAGCUCCCUUUCUGACGGGAACUUUCUCCCUUCCAUGCCUCACAAUAUUUGCCUGAAGUCAAAGAAGGAUGGCUCAGUCCUUGCUAGGUGCCAAGGACUGGUUCAUCGCUGAGCCCUGCAGCUCUGAACCCGUUAAUAGUGGAUCCCGUUUUCUCAUAGCAGCAUCAGCAAAACAGAAACCGUUUCUGCCUGGGCAUAGACGAUGGACAGGUGCAACAAUUUCAUCUGGAAAGAGAGAUGUUUCUUGUCUCGUGUCAGAUAAAAAUAUACAUAAAAGCAUUCACAGGAAGUAGAAGUCAGUAGUAUGGUGAAAAGAACUAAUGCAUUUGCAAAAGAUAAUGUAAAUGAGGGACUGUACCUAGUGUCAAACACUUCGAGCACUUUGAGGGGUUUUUCCCUCUUCCAGUAACCUGGCAUGCAGUAUGGUGCCUCUCAUCAUUGACUCUCCCUUUUAAAUUUCAAAAUUUUAACGUAGGGAAAAGGAAAACAAACGCAUACACUACUGGUAACGAGAAUAAACAAACUUCUGCCUCUCCCCGCAAUGAAGACAGCAAGGUAAAGCUACACAUUUCAUAUCAGCUGUUGGAAUUUUUUCUUUAUUUUCUUACCAGAUCAGCACAGAGUCUAAAAACCAAUGUAACAUUGACCAAGGACUGCCAAGGUGUACUGAUCAAGAGCAUCAUGUAGCUGCACAUACACAGAAACUACUUUCAAAACACCCAUUGCAAAGCUUAGAUUGUUUUGGGAUCCUGCAAAGCCAGAGCAACACUGCAGUAGCACCGUCUGUGAGUGCUUUCGUGCCUCGCAGACGCACAAGGCCCACUGUCUCGACGCAUGGCCAGCCCUGGGUUUCCAUCUGUCUCCUCACCUGACCGAUGGCACUGUUCAGGGGCCUGUCUGUAUUGAACCUUUCUGGAGGCAUACUGAGGGAAACACCCUUGGCAGGGCCAGAGCUGCCCAAGGCGGAAGGCUGAUACCCUGCCCAGUCCUGUGUCUGGUCUUGCCUCAGCUGGAUCUCUCUGAAGGCUCAUGAGUCCUCUUCUCUGCUUGAAUGUUGUAGUACUUUCUCCAGGUCACUUCUGUUGCAGGCCUCUCCGUAGGGCAAGAUGUAUUUACGGCCACUGAUGAGAGCCCCACUCCUGUUCCUGAUAAGGUAGACAAAGAGCAAGCUGAAAAAACCACAGGGCUGAUCUGACUCCUCUGGCUUCAACACAGAAUUCCUUUAUUUAUUCUGUGUGCUUGAGACUGUCUAGGAAAUAGAUCCCGGGAGCUGCGCAGGAGGGAUCCCCCGGAGCAGUGGCAGCGUUUGCUGUGCCCCGCGCAGCCGUGCUGUUGGAAGCGGGCUGUCCUGCAAGCAUGCCGUGGGGGCUGCAGCAGCAUGCUGCAAGCUGAGCGAGCUGGCGGGAGCCACCAUGGCAGGGUCCUGCACUGAUGAGCUAUUGCCACCGCUGCCUGUGCCCUGAAAGAUCUGCUGAAACACUAGCGACAGCCACAGCUCUGUCUGCGGGCUGCAGACCUGAUUUUUCUCUCACCAUUGCAUGUCUGGAUCGACGUCACGGGAAUCGGUGCGUUCCGCUCUGUGAAGAGACUCUGCUGGGCUCGAGCAAGAGACGCAGCAGAAUCAGGCCUUACACUCCGAUUUCCUGUCCUUUUCCUAUACAAAGGAGCGAGGGAGGGAGGUAAGUGGACCAUCACGCUUACAUCUCUGCCAGAAUUCUCCACUGCAUAAUUUUGGGCCAGAAGGACGCCGGGUGUUGUCACCAGCUGAGGGACUGUGCAGGCACCACUGCCUCAGCACUCUGCAGAACCCAUGGGAAUAGAAAAUAGAGCAAGAAACAGAUGAAAAGAAGAGAAGGCAGUGUGAAAACAGGACAAGGCAGAUCCUGCACAAAAUGCGUGGGAGCCUACAGAGCUGACCCUGCUCAUGGAGGCUGCUGGUGGCAGUGCAAGGGGAAGGAGGCAGAGGUGUGACCUGCAAGGAGAGAAGACCUGGUACAGCAUGAUGAAAAUACUCCAGAACAUGUAGCUACAUCUCCUGAAAGCGCAAAGUCCUAAAGGACUGUUUUCCCCUGGAACGUCCUUCCUACUUCCUUCCCCUGUUUGCUCCUUCCUACGUGCUGCAGACGAAAUGCGCUGCUGCCGGAGGCCAUCUUGUGCACAGCAUCGCACAUCAGCACGCACCCUAAAAUCCCUCCCUGAACCUCAGCAUGGCUUGUUGCUGGUGGGAGUGUGAAGGUGCACUACGGCGCAGAGGGUCGGUGCCAGCCUGUGACGCGGCCGUGCCGGACGCCCCGGGGAGGCAGCCUGAGUCCUGGACAAGGAGCCCUGGGGAUGGCCGUGCCGCUCGGUGUCCUGUAACCAGCUCUGGCGGGAGCCGUGCUGACGCACUGGGAACCGGGAGCAGCUGUGGGAGGUAGCAACUGCCGCCUGAGGGGGACCAGCCUGGCGGGAGACAGACAGCUCGUGACCACGUGCGAUGGCAAAGUCGGCUGCAUAAGUGCCCCUCCACGCAGCAGUGCCGCCGCUGCAGCACAGCCAGGCACGAGCCGUUCCCUCCUCGUGUCACCGCUGCCAGCCCUGACCCGCGGCAGUGUUCACAAGUGUUGCGGUUCCGGUUUGGUGUCUUUGAGGCCAGGCUGGCUGCGGACGGCCGGGCGUCUGGUUGACGUGUGCAUGCGGUCGCUGGCCUCACGCUUGCCACCUGGCCGCCUGACAGACAGGUUUGUUUAAACAUGUGACGUGACACCAGCACAACGAUUUUGUCACAGGUUUUUAGCUCGGUCCCUUUUGCCAUCUCCGUGGCAGGAGGCUGUCAGCACGGAGCAGGGCUCACCAGGGAGCUGCAGUAACAGUUUACAGACCACAGCGACCUGUAGCUGGUGCUACAGGCUGCGAGGUGCUGUCACCAACCAUGUGCAAAGCGCCGAUGUUCUCCGUCAGAUGUUGGAGUUACGUUGUCUGGCCCGUGUCCCUUCCAACACGCUGUUGUGUGUAGGCUGCCAAUGCGAUGGUCUGGUGUAAUAUGCUGUAACUGCUGUAUUGCUUUCCACUAGCGUCACGCCUCACCAUCUGAGGAGCCUUAACUUCCAGAAACGCUUUGCUUUCCAUAUGCUUGUGCAGCUUCUGUAGCAUCCAAAUCCCUGCCCUGGUGGAGCACCAUAUGCAGCGAUGGCUGCACGGACAGGCUCUGUCACCUCCUCGCAGGAAGGGCACCUCAGACAGUGCUGCCUUUGAACAACAGCCAAAUAUCAAAGAUUAAAAGAAAAAAGGCAAAAAAAAAAAAAAAAAAUCAGCCUAGGAUAGUCAGCAGCACAAGUGAGCAGUUGCCUGGUUUUCUGGCUCUUUCAGCCCUAGUUUGCCUACAGCUGUGCUGCCUGAUUGAGCUGCAUUCGUGUGUGCGUGGCCGGGAAGGGAGAUGAGACCGGGGCCCCGAGAGCUGCGAUUACAGCGGCACCAAGCCCCGAUUAUCCCCUAAACAGCUGUGCUGGAAGGAGGAAAAUAGUACACCCAAAUUACGAGCCUGUCUUUCAAAGAGGAGCGCUGCCGGGGGAAGGAUUACAGACAGCAGCCACCCACCCCCGACAGCCUUUUUCACGUUUGCCCUUGGAGCAGCCCCAGGGAAGCCCCCAGGUUUCGCAGCAGCUGUGGCCACGGCAUGUGCUGGCCGGGCGACGCGGGUCCGGCCCCUACUGCCGCGGGCAGAGGAGGGUCCUCGCCUCCCCUUUCCUCACCGCCCUUCGCUGCACUUGGUGCCCCACAUUUUCUCCCACUGUAAUUCAGCCACUGGCUUUAAUGAAGGCUUCUCUUGUCAAGGCAUGCUAAAUGGACAGGGGAAAAUAAACACUGUGCUCCCCCUGCACUUUCUCUCCUGUGCCCCCGCCCUUUCAUUCCGGGAAAUGCUCUGGUGGUGCCUCCCAUGCAGUGCCGGCCUUCCCAGGAGUACUGCUGCUUGGGGCAGCACCUGCACGUGAUGGUGUCAGAAAGUCUCUCUGUUCAGGACAGGGAGGCAGAAAAAUCAUCCUGCAACCACUGAACUGUUGCUUUCAGCCCAUCUCAGAAAUAAACGAGGAAAAAAAAAAGAAAAAACAGUUCAAGAGCGUGUUAUCUCCAGUCUGCAAGGAACCAGUUAACAUGAACUGAAGCUAAAUCAUAGUGGGUGAGUAAGCCUGUAUGUAGCUAUACAUAUGUAUUUAUGUAUGUAUAUUAAUAUAUGUAUAUAUGAGAUAGUUGAAGGAUAUCAACUUAUUUAUUCUUGUCUGUGCUCUUACAGUGUAUAUGCACUGAUUUUUUUUUUUUUUUGAAAUGGCAAGACACAGACUGCACUUUUCAGCCACCCGAUGCCACAAUACUGAUCGCUCUGUGUUUCACUGGAGUAUUUAACACCCAACCCAUACACAGAAACUGUUCAUAUGUGCUUGCUCUCUUCAUUUAUCGUGAUUCUAAACAAAAGGUCGGCUCUUCUGCCAGCAGCCAAGCCAGAGCAGCGUGGCCAUAGCCAGAGUUACACGUAUCAUGUCAGAGCUUCUAUAAAUAGGGAGUUUUUUUGGUAGUUGGCCCAAAGCUAUCUGGUGGGUGUUGUUCUGUGACUGCCUGCACACAGGUCGCAGGUGUGACUCGUUUUUUCCCAAAGUGUCUCUUUCUUCCCUGGUCUAAUUUGUACCAGGGAAAUACAGCAGGUGAAAAGCUACCCUGUGUUUGUGGGUGUUUUUUUAACAUACCACAGCAGAAACAGUUACUGCGUUAUAUUUGUCAGAGUCACAGUAGUUUAUGCGUAUUUGCUAUUCACAGACUGCAGAAUAUUGCCCAGAGCCUCACUGGUGGGGACUGACAGCACAGACAUGCAUUCGCGGGAGACCAUAAGCCAGGAUGGCUGUACAGUAUGAAGGACAUUCAGUUUUUUAAACACCUUCCAGUAAAACUGAUUCCUUUAUAUUUGUAGUUAAAACUGUGUGGUUUUUUUUCUCACAAUUAUGCACAAACUAACCUGUAAACAAUUUGACAUCACACUUACGUACAGGUGAAGCGUGGUGGGAGGCAGAAGCGGUAAUUCGGUGGGUGCCACUGGAUCUAUGUUGCUGUGUGACGGACUGACUGGGCCGCAGCAAAGGCGCUGGGUGCUUGGAGGAGGUCAGAAAACGUAACACGAGCGGGGUCCCAGGACCGCGUCACCGGCCCCUCCGCACCCCGGGGCGGCUGUGAGAGCACCGCCCUGGCAGCAGUCGCCCCCGGCGCGAGGGAGCCCCGGCGGACAGGGAGGCGACCCUUGCAAAGGGCCGACAGGACUUCUAAGACUGAUUCCUGUUAAAAUGGUUGGGCCCUGUCAUCCUUCUGCUUAACGUGGAUAAGUUUUGGCUCUUUAAGUCUGCGUUCUGCCUUUUUCUUUGUUCAUUGCUAUAGUUUAAAAGCUGCAACAUCAUACUUGUAAACUGAUUUUGAGCUGAGCAGUACCAAUGCCCAGAAAAAUGUCUUUUUAUAAUGCCAAUCAUUUAAAAGUGCUUUUCUGUUCUUUUACUAUUAAUCUACAAAACCCUGUUGGGGCAUAAACUAUCCAUAAGCCUGGACAGCUAUUUUGCCCCAGGAUAUGCAGAGGGGCCUUGCACAGAGGUACCCUGGCAGCAGAGCCCAGGCCCCUCCUUGCGAGGGCAGCGGGGCUGCGUGGUGGGGCAGGGCGCGCGACGGCAGGCGUAGCUGAUGGGAACGCUUUGGUCAGCACCAGUAAAGCCCGGCCUCGGUUUCUGCUUCAGCCUCCUGCUUUGCUAAUCAGAUGGACUCUCAAAACCAGAAUAAAACCCCACAUGCAGCUCCCGGGGUGCUCUGCAGCAGCUGCGCUGUGCGUAGCAGACAACCCUGGGUCCUGCAGGCCCCAUGCCAUCGCUCCUGUUCUCUGGUUGGCUCCCUCCAAGCUUUGCCUUCUGCCAAGGGGCCUUUUUUUUUUUUUUUUGUGUCCCAAGCAGUUGAUCACUGGCAGGUGACAGUAGUUCCAAUACCCAGUUUGCUCCCCAGAUAUUUUAGAGAAUAAGGUGCUCUGGUAGCUGCCUUGCAUUUUGGCUGCUGCCUAUAAAUGGGCAAAACAAGGCUGGGCCAGAUACUGGGCCUUUCACUUGAUUCUAAUUUGUUUGAGCUGAAUAUUUUUAAAGUGUAAAAAAAUAAAAGCCACUUUUUAGACAA
Molecule: long non-coding RNA, 8387 nt
Organism: Dromaius novaehollandiae (emu)
Lineage: Eukaryota; Metazoa; Chordata; Aves; Casuariiformes; Dromaiidae
Exons: 23
Source: RefSeq, a predicted model, not a curated record